RNAcentral lists this ribosomal RNA (496 nucleotides) under uncultured bacterium. Its description in RNAcentral is "partial 16S ribosomal RNA". It matches the Rfam family "Bacterial small subunit ribosomal RNA", at positions 28 to 507 of the family's 1533-position model. The record is from RNAcentral.
GAUGAACGCUGGCGGCGUGCCUAAUACAUGCAAGUCGAGCGAACAGACGAGGAGCUUGCUCCUCUGACGUUAGCGGCGGACGGGUGAGUAACACGUGGAUAACCUACCUAUAAGACUGGGAUAAUUUCGGGAAACCGGAGCUAAUACCGGAUAAUAUAUUGAACCGCAUGGUUCAAUAGUGAAAGACGGUUUUGCUGUCACUUAUAGAUGGAUCCGCGCCGCAUUAGCUAGUUGGAAGGUAACGGCUUACCAAGGCAACGAUGCGUAGCCGACCUGAGAGGAUGAUCGGCCACACUGGAACUGAGACACGGUCCAGACUCCUACGGGAGGCAGCAGUAGGGAAUCUUCGGCAAUGGGCGAAAGCCUGACGGAGCAACGCCGCGUGAGUGAUGAAGGUCUUCGGAUCGUAAAGCUCUGUUAUUAGGGAAGAACAAAUGUGUAAGUAACUAUGCACGUCUUGACGGUACCUAAUCAAAAAGCCACGGCUAACUACGUG